AACCCUCCUUCCCCUUCCUAUCGUGCACUCUUCUUCCUCCUUCCCCUCUCCCCAAAUAUCCACAGAGAAGGCAGGAGGACCAAACCCUAGCCGCCGCCGACCCGAUCCCAUGGCGCCGUCCCCGUCCCCGCCGCCGGCGGCGAGCGGAGCGCAGUACGCGCACCAGUUCCUCAACACCGCCCUCUCCCAGCGCGGGCCGUCGGCGCUCCCCUACGCGGAGGACGUCAAGUGGCUCAUCCGCAACCACCUCGUGGCCCUCGCCGACGCCUUCCCCUCGCUCCACCCCAAGGCGGCCCUCUUCACCCACAACGACGGCCGCGCCGCGCACCUGCUCCAGGCCGACGGCACCGUCCCCAUCCACCACGCCGGGGCCACCUACAACCUGCCCGCCGUCAUCUGGCUGCCCGAGACCUACCCGCGCUCCCCGCCCCUCGUCUUCCUCUCCCCCACCCGCGACAUGCUCAUCAAGCCCCACCACCCGCUCGUCGACCGCUCCGGCCUCGUCGCCAACGCGCCCUACCUCCGCUCCUGGGUCUUCCCCUCCUCCAACCUCCUCGACCUCGUCAGAUCCCUCUCCCACCUCUUCGGCCUCGACCCGCCGCUCUUCACCAGAUCCGUCGCAGCCCCGUCUCCCACUCCUCCUCCCGCUCAUCCUCCUCCUCCUCCCGCCGCCGCCUCCCCCGCCAUGCGCCCCGAGGCCGUCUAUGCUCCUGCCCCUCGCCCAUACAGGUUCCCGGCAUCGCCCCAGCUCGCCGCGCGCCAGCCGCCCACAGAGGACCCAGCCGAGGUCUUCAAGCGCAACGCCAUCUCCAAGCUCGUCGACACUGCCUAUGCUGAUGCUGCUGCCCUGCGCACCGCCCGUGAGGCUGAGGUCGACUCCCUCUUCGCCGUGCAGGCCGAGCUGCGUGGCCGGGGGGAGGCGGUGAACGACGGGGUGCGCAGGAUCACGGAGGAGAAGGAGACGCUCGAGCGCCGGCUUCAGGACGUGGUGAUGGCCACUGACGUCAUUGAGGCCUGGGUUGCCGAGAACCGCAAGGGGGCUGCUGAUGACACCGCCGAGGCGGAGGGGGCUAUCCAGCCGGCCGAUGUGCUGUCCAGGCAGAUGCUUGAGUGCACAGCUACUGAUUUGGCGCUCGAGGACACCAUCUAUGCGCUUGACAAGGCUGUGCAGGAAGGAUCGGUGCCGUUCGACGGCUACCUCAGGAGCGUGCGCGCACUUGCACGGGAGCAGUUCUUCCAGCGUGUCCUCUGCACCAAGGUUAACAAUGCGCAGCAGCAGGCACAGGUUGCUAGGAUGGCAGCACGGGCACCACAGUACGCCUCCUAGCCAAGAUGAUGGAUAGGCGAUCCAGGAUGCUUUCCUUUGAUAAAAAAUCAUCUGUGCCAUCUCAUAUGAGUGAUCUUGCCCCCACAGUGUUCUGGAUAUACAGAUCACGUUGAUAAAGUGACGAGACCCUGGACAAGAUUCACGGAACCUAUUUUGGGAGUUCAGCCCUGAGUUCACGGUGUUCAAGAUGCAGGUGUGGUGAAACCGAAGAACAGUGUUCAAGACGUUUUUACUUGUAUGAACAGUGGUACUAUUGGUGCGUUCACUGGGGUUUACAACAAGUCCCACUCAGCCAGGCUUGGACCUUUGCUGUUCCAGAUGUUUUACCAGAAAAAUGUAUUCCUUGGUAUAGUUUCUGCCUAAAUCUUGAUAAUAGGCAGCUUCAUUCAAUCAUUUGAGGAUUGUUCAGUACAAACAUGGCCCUGAUAAUACCAGGAGACACAUUAAACCAGCAGGGCCCUUCAUCAUGGUCAGUUGACUUUGCUAGAACAUGAGCUGCCUCAUUACAAGAACAACUAACAUGAGUACAGCUACAGGAUAUGAAUUUUGGAGCCCUACUCUCAAUAUCAAAGACCUUGGGCAACUAUGUGAGAUCUGUCCUCCCCACUCUUCACCUUACUCAUCAAACUAGCACAAUCGGAAGCAACAAUAAUCUGUUGGAAGCCAGUUUCUUCAGCAAAGGCUAGAGCAUGGUGCACUGCAAUAGCUUCACCCAACUCUGGAUUAUCUACAUGAUCGAAUCUUCUGCUUGCAGCUAACACCAGAUCCAGACGGCUGCGGAUGACAACACCAAUGCCCAUGCCGGUCUGGGCGAAAAUCCAGACUUGGGUGAAGGGUGAGGCAUUUUCCUACCAUUUCUCAUACUGUUCCGAUUCUCCCAAAUGUGCCAAAUUGCAACAGCAUGAGGCAUUAGAAAUCCAGUUUGAUAGCCAUUG
Triticum dicoccoides is the source of this 2262-nucleotide RNA transcript. It is a transcript of the gene named protein ELC-like, with no coding region annotated. The record is from RefSeq and is a predicted model, not a curated record. The transcript is spliced from 3 exons. Lineage: Eukaryota; Viridiplantae; Streptophyta; Magnoliopsida; Poales; Poaceae.